CCGUAGGCAGGGUGAGAAUCCCAAGGCGCUUGAGAGAACUCGGGUGAAGGAACUAGGCAAAAUGGCACCGUAACUUCGGGAGAAGGUGCGCCCUUUGGUGUGGUCACGUGCGUGACUGAGCAUCGAAGGGUCGCAGUAACCUGGCCGCUGCGACUGUUUAUCAAAAACACAGCACUCUGCAAACACGAAAGUGGACGUAUAGGGUGUGACGCCUGCCCGGUGCUGGAAGGUUAAUUGAUGGGGUCAGCCGCAAGGCGAAGCUCUUGAUCGAAGCCCCAGUAAACGGCGGCCGUAACAAUAACGGUCCUAAGGUAGCGAAAUUCCUUGUCGGGUAAGUUCCGACCUGCACGAAUGGCGUAACGACAGCGGCGCUGUCUCCACCCGAGACUCAGUGAAAUUGAAAUCGCUGUGAAGAUGCAGCGUUCCCGCGGCAAGACGGAAAGACCCCGUGAACCUUUACUAUAGCUUUACACUGAACGUUGAGUUCUUCUGUGUAGUAUAGGUGGGAGGCUAUGAAACCAGGACGCUAGUUCUGGUGGAGCCAUCCUUGAAAUACCACCCUGAAGUGCUUGACGUUCUAACCUAGGCCCGUAAUCCGGGUCAGGGACCGUGUAUGGUGGGUAGUUUGACUGGGGCGGUCUCCUCCCAAAGAGUAACGGAGGAGCACGAAGGUACGCUCAGCGCGGUCGGACAUCGCGCACUGUGUGCAAAGGCAUAAGCGUGCUUGACUGCGAGAUCGACGGAUCAAGCAGGUACGAAAGUAGGUCUUAGUGAUCCGGUGGUUCUGUAUGGAAGGGCCAUCGCUCAACGGAUAAAAGGUACUCCGGGGAUAACAGGCUGAUACCGCCCAAGAGUUCAUAUCGACGGCGGUGUUUGGCACCUCGAUGUCGGCUCAUCACAUCCUGGGGCUGUAGCCGGUCCCAAGGGUAUGGCUGUUCGCCAUUUAAAGUGGUACGCGAGCUGGGUUCAGAACGUCGUGAGACAGUUCGGUCCCUAUCUGUCGUGGGCGUUGGAGAUUUGAGGGGGGCUGCUCCUAGUACGAGAGGACCGGAGUGGACGUUCCGCUGGUGUUCGGGUUGUCAUGCCCAUGGCAUUGCCCGGUAGCUACGAACGGAAGUGAUAACCGCUGAAAGCAUCUAAGCGGGAAGCACGCCCCAAGAUGAGAUCUCCCGAGAGCUUGACUCUCCUAAAGGCACCAUCAAGACUAGGUGGUUGAUAGGUCAGGUGUGGAAGCGCAGCAAUGCGUUGAGCUAACUGAUACUAAUGAGCCGUGAGGCUUGAUC
RNAcentral lists this ribosomal RNA (1283 nucleotides) under metagenome. Its description in RNAcentral is "bacterial LSU rRNA". It matches the Rfam family "Bacterial large subunit ribosomal RNA", at positions 1661 to 2925 of the family's 2925-position model. The record is from RNAcentral.